AGUGAACGCUGGCGGUAUGCCUAACACAUGCAAGUCGAACGGCAGCACAGUAAGAGCUUGCUCUUACGGGUGUCGAGUGUCGGACGGGUGAGUAAUACAUCGGAAUCUACUUUUUCGUGGGGGAUAGCGUAGGGAAACUUACGCUAAUACCGCAUACGACCUACUGGUGAAAGCAGGGGAUCUUCUGACCUUUCGCGAUUGAAUGAGCCGAUGUCGGAUUAGCUAGUUGGCGGGGUAAAGGCCCACCAAGGCGACGAUCCGAGGAUGGUCUGAGAGGAUGAUCAGACAGACUGGCACUGAGACACGGUCCAGACACUUACGGUGGGACGCAGUGGAGAAUAUUGGAGAAGGGGCGAAAGCGUAAUCCAGGAAUACCGGGUGAGUGAUGAAGGCCUUCGGGUUGUAAAGCGCUUUUGUUGGGAAAGAAAAACAGCAGGUUAAUACCCCGUUGUAAUGACGGUACCCAAAGAAUAAGCACCGGCUAACUUCGUG
RNAcentral lists this ribosomal RNA (492 nucleotides) under uncultured bacterium. RNAcentral's name for it is "partial 16S ribosomal RNA". It matches the Rfam family "Bacterial small subunit ribosomal RNA", at positions 29 to 507 of the family's 1533-position model. The record is from RNAcentral.